This 266-nucleotide ribosomal RNA is filed under the name uncultured bacterium. Its description in RNAcentral is "partial 16S ribosomal RNA". It matches the Rfam family "Bacterial small subunit ribosomal RNA", at positions 793 to 1055 of the family's 1533-position model. The record is from RNAcentral.
GUCCACGCCCUAAACGAUGAUGACUAGUUGUUGGAGGAGUUAAAUCCUUUAGUAACGCAGCUAACGCGAGAAGUCAUCCGCCUGGGGAGUACGGUCGCAAGAUUAAAACUCAAAGGAAUUGACGGGGGCCCCGCACAAGCGGUGGAUGAUGUGGUUCAAUUCGACGCAACGCGAAAACCUUACCUACCCUUGACAUGUACGGAACCUCAUGGAGACAUGAGGGUGCCCGAAAGGGAGCCGUAACACAGGUGCUGCAUGGCUGUCGU